This is a long non-coding RNA of Prionailurus viverrinus (fishing cat), 645 nucleotides long. RefSeq lists it as uncharacterized. The record is from RefSeq and is a predicted model, not a curated record. NCBI's taxonomy places the organism in Eukaryota, Metazoa, Chordata, Mammalia, Carnivora, Felidae. The transcript has 2 exons.
AGUGCUAAGAUGGCAGGACUAGCCAUGAGACCAGAGUAGCAGUGGCGGGGGCGGGGGCUCUUAUGCAGACGGAGAUGGCAGGAACAUGGACGGAAAUGGAGGGCCGGAGCACGGCAGUGCUGGCUCCUUCCAUGUCAUGCAACCUCUCACUGCUACAAUAUCCUAGGAAGAAUUGACCAUAACCUAAAAAGAAAGCAAGGUUGAAAGAUUUAUUUUACACCAACGUUAAGCAUCAGUCUGAGACAGAUACUGGAAGAGGAAGACAGAGCAUGCAAGCAAUUUGCCUUUUAAUUUAUUUUGCUCUCUGGAUGACAUUAGUCUUUGGCUUUGCAGCACAAUUCACCUCUAAGUUUGCUGUUGACUUAGUUUAGUGACUUAAUGCUUGCUGUAGCUUUGGCACCAUGAAGUCCCACCACCACCUCCCAACCUCCUUGUAGGCAUCCUUAUGCCCUUUCCAGGUCUCAGAAGCAAAUGACAGCAAGAAUACCUGUAAGCUGAACCAACUGCCGCCACCAGGCUGGACUCUGGAUUUGGCCUCAACAAGGAAGUUAAAGGGAAGGAGUAUGAUCCACGUUGACUGAACCCAGCCACUCUGCCUACUUACUUCAUCCUUAGAGCUACUCAUUAAAGUCCUACAAAAGCUCA